AAAAAAACAAACCCUGGGUUUCCGUGUCCAACUUUGACUGUCUGUCUUAUAUAAAAUUUUUUUAUAAUUCAUAUUUUCAUUGUUGUUACAUGGUAAAACAUGAUUAAUAUUUUAUGUGUGACUUGUCUUUUUAAAUUUUUUACAUGAUUAAUAUUUUAUGUGUGACUUGUCUUUUUAAAAUUUUUUAUAAAUUUUUUAAAUAAGACGGACGGUCAAAACGUUGGUCACAGAAACUAGGGUUUGUCUUUUC
Molecule: microRNA precursor, 250 nt
Filed under: Oryza barthii
Lineage: Eukaryota; Viridiplantae; Streptophyta; Magnoliopsida; Poales; Poaceae
Description: MIR812 microRNA precursor family
Rfam family: MIR812 microRNA precursor family
Source: Rfam by way of RNAcentral